UUACCACAAGUCAUCGAAACCCUUUGAUGUAUGUUGGGCCCUCUUGCUCAUAGACCUCUGUCCUAUCAUCACUUUCCCCAGCCAUGAAUCUUAUGCCCAUAUGAUUUCUCAGUGGAGAAGAAGUCUUGUCUAACGGGAGGCACAGAGGGAAGGCUUCCUGGAACAUUGGAAGAAAACCAGGAAAGUGACCCAAAUGAAAGGUUUUAUUUGACCAUGACAUCAUGAACAAAAGAAAAACUCGGCACUGGUGCAUUUCAGUCCGGAGCUAACAAGAGACCCACAGCGCACCUCUGUCUCCGGGGACCCGGAACACUGUGGGUAAUUAGAAAUCCCAAAGAUGAGGGCAGACGGUUUCUCCCGCUCGCUCACCACACAUGGGCACACGUGUGUGCACACACACACAAGUACCUACACACGCACAGACACCAGAAGCUCAUCCCGCGGUUUCUAAAGAGGUGCCAUCCACAAAUCUGGAAAUCGGGCUGCUGGAGCGAGAGGUGCAGAGAGGAACCAGAGUCAUUCCGCUCACGCCCUGCCAUUGCCCUGUUACUGCUGCUUAGGCCGCCAACGAACUGAGGGGACCCACAGUCCCUCUUCUCCUGGGCGCAGCAAGCAUUCAAGGCAAACCAGGAAGGCGAGGCAACUGGAAACCACUCCAGAACAAAAAUGACUGGAGGAAUUAGAGAUGUUACAAAUUCAGGAAGGCUUUCGCGGGCACGGGGCGAGG
This is a long non-coding RNA of Herpailurus yagouaroundi (jaguarundi), 727 nucleotides long. RefSeq lists it as uncharacterized. The record is from RefSeq and is a predicted model, not a curated record. Lineage: Eukaryota; Metazoa; Chordata; Mammalia; Carnivora; Felidae. The transcript is spliced from 3 exons.